This 492-nucleotide ribosomal RNA is filed under the name uncultured bacterium. RNAcentral describes it as "partial 16S ribosomal RNA". It matches the Rfam family "Bacterial small subunit ribosomal RNA", at positions 29 to 507 of the family's 1533-position model. The record is from RNAcentral.
AGUGAACGCUGGCGGUAGGCCUAACACAUGCAAGUCGAACGGCAGCACAGUAAGAGCUUGCUCUUACGGGUGGCGAGUGGCGGACGGGUGAGGAAUACAUCGGAAUCUACUUUUUCGUGGGGGAUAACGUAGGGAAACUUACGCUAAUACCGCAUACGACCUACGGGUGAAAGCAGGGGAUCUUCGGACCUUGCGCGAUUGAAUGAGCCGAUGUCGGAUUAGCUAGUUGGCGGGGUAAAGGCCCACCAAGGCGACGAUCCGUAGCUGGUCUGAGAGGAUGAUCAGCCACACUGGAACUGAGACACGGUCCAGACUCCUACGGGAGGCAGCAGUGGGGAAUAUUGGACAAUGGGCGCAAGCCUGAUCCAGCCAUACCGCGUGGGUGAAGAAGGCCUUCGGGUUGUAAAGCCCUUUUGUUGGGAAAGAAAAGCAGCAGGUUAAUACCCCGCUGUUCUGACGGUACCCAAAGAAAAAGCACCGGCUAACUUCGUG